GGGACACGUGGUAUCCUGUCUGAAUAUGGGGGGACCAUCCUCCAAGGCUAAAUACUCCUGACUGACCGAUAGUGAACCAGUACCGUGAGGGAAAGGCGAAAAGAACCCCGGCGAGGGGAGUGAAAAAGAACCUGAAACCGUGUACGUACAAGCAGUGGGAGCCUCUUAAUGGGGUGACUGCGUACCUUUUGUAUAAUGGGUCAGCGACUUAUAUUCUGUAGCAAGGUUAACCGAAUAGGGGAGCCGAAGGGAAACCGAGUCUUAACUGGGCGCUAAGUUGCAGGGUAUAGACCCGAAACCCGGUGAUCUAGCCAUGGGCAGGUUGAAGGUUGGGUAACACUAACUGGAGGACCGAACCGACUAAUGUUGAAAAAUUAGCGGAUGACUUGUGGCUGGGGGUGAAAGGCCAAUCAAACCGGGAGAUAGCUGGUUCUCCCCGAAAGCUAUUUAGGUAGCGCCUCGUGAAUUCAUCUCCGGGGGUAGAGCACUGUUUCGGCAAGGGGGUCAUCCCGACUUACCAACCCGAUGCAAACUGCGAAUACCGGAGAAUGUUAUCACGGGAGACACACGGCGGGUGCUAACGUCCGUCGUGAAGAGGGAAACAACCCAGACCGCCAGCUAAGGUCCCAAAGUCAUGGUUAAGUGGGAAACGAUGUGGGAAGGCCCAGACAGCCAGGAUGUUGGCUUAGAAGCAGCCAUCAUUUAAAGAAAGCGUAAUAGCUCACUGGUCGAGUCGGCCUGCGCGGAAGAUGUAACGGGGCUAAACCAUGCACCGAAGCUGCGGCAGCGACACUAUGUGUUGUUGGGUAGGGGAGCGUUCUGUAAGCCUGUGAAGGUGGCCUGUGAGGGUUGCUGGAGGUAUCAGAAGUGCGAAUGCUGACAUAAGUAACGAUAAAGCGGGUGAAAAGCCCGCUCGCCGGAAGACCAAGGGUUCCUGUCCAACGUUAAUCGGGGCAGGGUGAGUCGACCCCUAAGGCGAGGCCGAAAGGCGUAGUCGAUGGGAAACAGGUUAAUAUUCCUGUACUUGGUGUUACUGCGAAGGGGGGACGGAGAAGGCUAUGUUGGCCGGGCGACGGUUGUCCCGGUUUAAGCGUGUAGGCUGGUUUUCCAGGCAAAUCCGGAAAACCAAGGCUGAGGCGUGAUGACGAGGCACUACGGUGCUGAAGCGACAAAUGCCCUGCUUCCAGGAAAAGCCUCUAAGCAUCAGGUAACAUCAAAUCGUACCCCAAACCGACACAGGUGGUCAGGUAGAGAAUACCAAGGCGCUUGAGAGAACUCGGGUGAAGGAACUAGGCAAAAUGGUGCCGUAACUUCGGGAGAAGGCACGCUGAUAUGUAGGUGAAGCGACUUGCUCGUGGAGCUGAAAUCAGUCGAAGAUACCAGCUGGCUGCAACUGUUUAUUAAAAACACAGCACUGUGCAAACACGAAAGUGGACGUAUACGGUGUGACGCCUGCCCGGUGCCGGAAGGUUAAUUGAUGGGGUUAGCGGCAACGCGAAGCUCUUGAUCG
RNAcentral lists this ribosomal RNA (1510 nucleotides) under Escherichia coli. RNAcentral describes it as "partial 23S ribosomal RNA". It matches the Rfam family "Bacterial large subunit ribosomal RNA", at positions 419 to 1914 of the family's 2925-position model. The record is from RNAcentral. Lineage: Bacteria; Pseudomonadati; Pseudomonadota; Gammaproteobacteria; Enterobacterales; Enterobacteriaceae.